Molecule: ribosomal RNA, 476 nt
Filed under: uncultured bacterium
Lineage: Bacteria
Description: partial 16S ribosomal RNA
Rfam family: Bacterial small subunit ribosomal RNA
Source: RNAcentral
AUUGAACGCUGGCGGCAUGCCUUACACAUGCAAGUCGAACGGUAACAGGUUAAGCUGACGAGUGGCGAACGGGUGAGUAAUGUAUCGGAACGUGCCCAGUCGUGGGGGAUAACUGCUCGAAAGAGCAGCUAAUACCGCAUACGACCUGAGGGUGAAAGCGGGGGAUCGCAAGACCUCGCGCGAUUGGAGCGGCCGAUAUCAGAUUAGGUAGUUGGUGAGGUAAAGGCUCAACAAGCCGACGAUCUGUAGCUGGUCUGAGAGGACGACCAGCCACACUGGGACUGAGACACGGCCCAGACUCCUACGGGAGGCAGCAGUGGGGAAUUUUGGACAAUGGGCGCAAGCCUGAUCCAGCCAUGCCGCGUGCGGGAAGAAGGCCUUCGGGUUGUAAACCGCUUUUGUCAGGGAAGAAAAGGUUCUGGCUAAUACCUGGGACUCAUGACGGUACCUGAAGAAUAAGCACCGGCUAACUACGU